This 522-nucleotide unclassified non-coding RNA is filed under the name Zea mays. RNAcentral's name for it is "misc RNA Zm00001eb439280". The record is from RNAcentral. Lineage: Eukaryota; Viridiplantae; Streptophyta; Magnoliopsida; Poales; Poaceae.
GGAGGGGCGGCCACGACGCCGGGCUGCAGGGAAGGGGCGGCCGCGGGGAGGUCCAGCGGCUGGGAGAUAGGAGGGGGCGCUGGAUGGAGGAGGAAGGAGGUCCCUGCGUCCAUGGAGUUGGGAGGUCGCCGGACCUGGGCGCUCCCUGGCCAAGGGCUGGGAAGAGCAGGGGGAAGGCCGACGUUGAGGGAGGAGCUCGCAGGGGAGACGCCAUGGACGGAGAACAGGAGCUCGGCUUAGGGCCUAGCGUGGUCGAGCAGAGCCGGAGGAAGCUGGGCGCCAUGGGAGCUCCAAACCUUGGGGGAAGAUGGAGAUGGGAGGUCGCGGCAGGCGAGCGUGCACCCAGCCCGCGCGUGCGCCCUCCGGAAUCUGGCCCGCCGCCGGCGCCGCUGCGCUCAGUCGCCGCGUCUCCAAGCGGGCUCGGGCGCAGCCAUGGCGCAGGCCCUGGCGCAGACCCGUGGCCUCCGGCCAGGCGCGGCCCAGCGCGAGUGCGGCCUGGGGAAGGGGAGCCGCCGGCGGGAG